UCCCUGUUGCCAGGGCAGUCUAGCUAGAAAAAUCCAACUAACUAUAGGGGUUGCGCUCGUUGAUGGACUUAACCAAACAUCUCACGACACGAGCUGACGACGGCCAUGCAUCACCUGUCACUGCGUUCACAAGGCACAGUCUCCUUUCGGAGACCUUCGCAGGAUGUCAAGUCUGGGUAAGGUUCUUCGCUUAUCAUCGAAUUAAACAACACGCUCCACCGCUUGUGCGGGUUCCCGUCAAUUCCUUUAUGUUUUAAGCUUGCGCUCGUACUCCCCAGGCGGGGCGCUUAAUGCGUUAGCUACGGCACGGAUCCCGUGGAAGGAAACCCACACCUAGCGCCCACCGUUUACGGCGUGGACUAC
This 363-nucleotide unclassified non-coding RNA is filed under the name uncultured bacterium. Its description in RNAcentral is "contains 16S-23S intergenic spacer region". The record is from RNAcentral.